UCAGGAUGAACGCUAGCGGCAGGCUAACACAUGCAAGUCGAGGGGCAUCGGGAGUAGCAAUACUGCCGGCGACCGGCGCAAGGGUGCGUAACGCGUGAGCAACAUGCCCGUAUCAGGGGGAUAAUCCAUGGAAACGUGGUCUAAUACCCCAUAGUAAUUAUGUAAGGCAUCUUAUAUAAUUUAAAGCUUUGGUGGAUACGGAUUGGCUCGCGUGACAUUAGCUGGAUGGUAAGGUAACGGCUUACCAUGGCUACGAUGUCUAGGGGUUCUGAGAGGAAGGUCCCCCACACUGGAACUGAGACACGGUCCAGACUCCUACGGGAGGCAGCAGUGAGGAAUAUUGGACAAUGGAUGGAAAUCUGGAUCCAGCCAUGCCGCGUGCAGGAAGACGGCCCUAUGGGUUGUAAACUGCUUUUGUAUGGGAGCAAUAAGGGCUACGUGUAGUCCGAUGAGAGUACCAUACGAAUAAGCACCGGCUAACUCCGUGCCAGCCGCUGC
Molecule: ribosomal RNA, 498 nt
Filed under: uncultured bacterium
Lineage: Bacteria
Description: bacterial SSU rRNA
Rfam family: Bacterial small subunit ribosomal RNA
Source: RNAcentral